Molecule: small nucleolar RNA, 71 nt
Organism: Chelydra serpentina (North American snapping turtle)
Lineage: Eukaryota; Metazoa; Chordata; Testudines; Chelydridae
Source: Ensembl
CUGGACAUGAUGAGGAACUUGAAGUUUGAUCUUAACCAUGACUGACUGUGUGUUCAUACUGUCUGAUCCGG